AACGAACGCUGGCGGCGCGCCUAAUACAUGCAAGUCGAACGAGAAUGUGUAGCAAUACACAUGUACAGUGGCGAACGGGUGAGGAAUACAUAGGUAACCUACCCUCGAGUGGGGAAUAACUAGCCGAAAGGUUAGCUAAUACCGCGUACGCUCCUUGGACUAAGGUUCAAGGGAAGGAAAGCGAUACCGUGGGUAUCGCGCUCUUGGAUGGGCUUAUGUCCUAUCAGCUUGUUGGUGAGGUAACGGCUCACCAAGGCUUCGACGGGUAGCUGGUCUGAGAGGACGAUCAGCCACACUGGCACUGCGACACGGGCCAGACUCCUACGGGAGGCAGCAGUAAGGAAUAUUGCGCAAUGGGCGACAGCCUGACGCAGCGACGCCGCGUGGGGGACGAAGGUCUUCGGAUUGUAAACCCCUUUCGGGAGGGAAGAUGGGGACGGGUAACCGUUCGGACGGUACCUCCAGAAGCAGCCACGGCUAACUUCGUGCCAGCAGACGCGGUAAUACGAAGGUGGCAAGCGUUGUUCGGAUUUACUGGGCGUACAGGGAAGCGUAAGCGGUUCGGUAAGCCCUCUGUGAAAUCUCCAGGCUUAACCUGGAACA
Molecule: ribosomal RNA, 603 nt
Filed under: uncultured soil bacterium
Lineage: Bacteria
Description: bacterial SSU rRNA
Rfam family: Bacterial small subunit ribosomal RNA
Source: RNAcentral